This 390-nucleotide ribosomal RNA is filed under the name Phelsuma guimbeaui. RNAcentral's name for it is "partial 12S ribosomal RNA". It matches the Rfam family "Bacterial small subunit ribosomal RNA", at positions 795 to 1388 of the family's 1533-position model. The record is from RNAcentral. Lineage: Eukaryota; Metazoa; Chordata; Lepidosauria; Squamata; Gekkonidae.
GCUAGCCGUAAAUCCAAGCAAUUACUUACUAAUUUGCUCGCCAGAAAAUUACACGCGAAAGCGCAAAAUUCAAAGGACUUGACGGUGUUCCAUAUCAAUCUAGAGGAGCCUGUCCUAUAAUCGAUAAUCCACGCUAAACCUUACCCAUUCUUGCAAUAACAGCCUGUAUACCGCCGUCACCAGCCCAUCUAAUGAUAGAACAAACAUGGGCACAACUGCCCACCCGCCAAAACGUCAGGUCAAGGUGUAGCUAAUGAAUGGGGUGAGAUGGGCUACAUUUUUUAAAUUAAAAAAUACGGAAAGUAACAUGAAACAUGAACUAUAAAGGUGGAUUUAGCAGUAAAUUUAGUAAGACAUACUAUAUUGAAAUAAGCUCUGGAACGCGUACAC